GCACUGUUGUGGUGCGGCGCGUCGGGCGGGCGGCGGCCGGGGCGGCCCAGGGGCUGCCGCGGGGACUCGGGGCGCCGCCGAGCGGCCAGGCGCUGGGGCGGCCCGAGCACACCGCGGGGCCCGGACACGGCAGGUUCGAGGCCGGGCCCCCGCGCGGGGAGCCACGGGGUGGAGACUUUGCCGCGCGGCGCGGAGCAGGCGGGAGCCGGCGGGGGCCUCGGGAGCCCCAGGGCGGCCGGGCCCGGAUCCCGGGGGAAGCCUCGUGAGCCCCGGCCGGAGCCUCGGCGUGUGCAUCCCCGCCGGGGCCCGGGCUGCAGGAGCACAGAGCAGCCGGGCCUCGCGGAGCUCGGAGCGCGCCUGACCCAGGGCGCACCGUGGGACCCGGGCGCGGGGCUGGCGAAGAGCUGCCCCGCGGGGCUAGCAGCCGCGGAGUGGCCUACAGGGGUCCUCCCCCGGAGGGGCCGGGCCGGGGCGGGGAGAUGAACGGCUUCAGCACAGAGGAGGACAGCCGCGAAGGGCCCCCUGCCGCCCCCGCCGCCGCCCCGGGCUACGGCCAGAGCUGCUGCCUCAUCGCGGACGGCGAGCGCUGCGUCCGGCCCGCGGGCAACGCCUCCUUCAGCAAGAGGGUGCAGAAAAGCAUCUCGCAGAAGAAACUCAAGCUGGACAUAGACAAGAGCGUAAGGCACCUGUAUAUCUGCGACUUCCACAAAAAUUUCAUCCAGAGCGUCCGAAAUAAAAGGAAGAGGAAGGCAAGUGACGAUGGCGGAGACUCCCCCGAGCACGAUGCUGACAUCCCUGAGGUUGAUCUGUUCCAGCUGCAGGUGAACACGCUCCGACGUUACAAACGGCACUAUAAGCUGCAGACCAGACCAGGCUUCAACAAGGCCCAGCUAGCAGAGGUAGGUGGUAAAGCAGAGAGGCCCGGCCUACACUCCUGAGUCCCAGCUACUCCUCCCACAGGUCAUCAAGAGCUCUGCACAUGGGCAGAGAAAGCCCUAGUUCCCAAAGGAAGCCAUGCACAGAGAGGGAUGGACUUUCUUUAAAAGUCACGUGGCAGCUUGAGGACUCCUGGUUCUGAGUCGUGACAUCAUUUUUGCAAGGUUCUUGAUAUGUCCUUACAGACUGUGAGCCGACACUUCAGGAACAUACCAGUGAAUGAGAAAGAGACGCUUGCCUAUUUCAUCUACAUGGUGAAGAGUAACAGGAGCAGACUGGACCAGAAGUCAGAGGGCAGCAAGCAGCUUGAGUGAGCUACAGCCACCUGCCCGUGUGAGGUGGGGGCCGUGAUGAAAGGACAGCCGGGUACUGCUUGAUGACAGGUGGCCUCUGCAACAUCUCAGCCAAUAAGGACUGUUCAUAUCUACUGUAAAUAAAGUUUGAAUGAUGGAUACUGUAAAUGUCUCGGUCAGGAGGAUUAUAUUCUCACAGGUUAGCAUGUGUGUAAAAAGACUUUAAGAUAUCUGCUCAGACUGGGAGGAAAAAAAACCAGUGUUAUAAAAGGAGUUUUAAAACCGUGUCUAGAGUGCUCAGCAAGGCUUUAAAUCAGUUCUCCUAGAAAUGCUGGGUGAUACGCAUCUUGGCCAUCACCAUGCAGUCCCAGGCUGUCACAAGCAAGGCCCAGCCCUGGCAGCGUGGCUCGGUGACAGUGGAAUUACAGAGUAGGCCCAUGUUUGCGCUGACCCUUGCCCACUGGGAACAGAGGGAUGUCACUUUAUUGCAAGUUUUGCCAUUUAGUAGCAAAUCAGUUGGACACUAGCUCCCACCUUGCCCUGUGACCUGUACACAGUGGACGCUCAGAGUGUGCUGGCCAAGAGCUGUCGCAGCUACGCAGCUUCUGCUUCACCCCUCCCACCACUGAGACUGGGGCUUUGUGUUCUCUCUGCUUAACCACUAGAGGUGGAGGACAGGCUGCCCCUCCACAAGAAGUCCAGGCAAGUGAGGAUCUCGGCACAGUUGCACCUGCAAAACUGUUGAGAUUCCAGCAUCAACACAAAGACAUCACAGGCUGGCCAUGAUGGUGCAUGCUUUAGUCCCACCAUUCCAGAGAAUGAGACAGGAUAGUGAGCUCAAGGGUAACCUGGGCUAAAGACCCUAUCUCAGAAAACAGUGAACCUCAGGAUGGCUCAGUAGGCAAAGACACUUGCUGCCAUGCCUGAUGACCUGAGUUCAGUUCCUGGCCAUGUAGCAGACUGUCCCCUGACAGACACACACACACACACACAAAAUAAGUGAUUUAUUGUUUUUAAACUAUAAACAAAACCAUAGCCUUCCAUAGCAGUCUUUGCAUUUUACCCAGAGUAAGGUGUAUAGCAUGACCUGCAUGCCCCUGGCAGUGAGCGCUCUGAUGGCAGGGAUGGGGCGUCCGGGCUCGGGUUUCUGGUCUUUAGUACACAGUCUGCAGGAGAGCUGCCAAGUCCCUGUGAUCCAGCUCCGAAGCCCAGCUCUGGAAAGACAGUGUGGCUGGGCUCGGCUCCUUGGUCCUAGGAGGCAGGAGAUCAUGAGGCUAGGCAAGAAAAGCCACUGCCACCUCAAGUUCAGGGGAAAAAAUCAGAAUCGGCCUCCUUUGGGGAGAAUGCUUACUAAGGUAAUUUUUUCAGUAUUAAAUUUUGUCGUUGUUCAAAUCAGACCCUUCUAUCUAGUUCUCUCAAAACCAGAAGCACCCUGGAAAGCAGAGCUCUCUUGUACAAAGAAUUGUAUAGAAUUUCCAGUCAGUUUGUGGGGUAAAAGGUGUGUGUAGGAGGAUAAGAAAGAUUCCUAAUUUCCAACUAUCCUGUAUGUAUUGGGCCAAAUGUCUCAUCUCCCUAUUCCACUUCAAUUCUGAGUUUUUCUUAAGUCCUAACAGAACAGAGGCCUGGUCUGACAGUUUUAAUGUCUCCCAGGUGGCUUGCCUGAGCGCCAUCUCAGAGCAGAACUAACCCCACACUGAGUGAGUGGAGGAAUGUGUGAUGGUUUCCCUCUAUGGAGCAGAGCGUCACGCUUCUGUGGAGUGGGAACAGGGCCCUUCGUGUUACUAACAUGCAGUGUUCCAUUACGGCUGAGCUCCCAAGAACACUCAAAAUGCAGUCCUGAGCCUCCGUGCAGAAGUUGGUCUCCCUCCUACCACGGAUGGAAACAACAGGAGAGCCCAGGCGAAGCUGGUGUCUGAGGGCAAAUGGAAUCUUUAACUUAACCGGCCCUGUGGAAAGUGUCUUAUCAAGAAGAAAAUGUAGCUUUCUAAUACUUUAACCAAAACUGUUAGCAUGUAAGCCAUGUGAUUGUUUCUUUAAAAUCUAGUUUCCUGUGAAGAGGCUCACUUCUGGGCAAGAUGUGGCAUUAGGCUCCCUCUAGUCCACGUUCUAAGUCCAGAUCCAAGCUGGGGAGUGUCUGCCCUCCAGCCAGAUCCCACCUCAGAAUCCUUGUCCUCUGAUGCCAGCAGCCUUGGAGAAGUAGAGACCUGGGCUAUCAUUUUCACCCUUUCACAACAGAUCGCCUGAGAGAAAAGGCAAAGCUAUUUGAACAUGCUGUGUCAUGAAGUGUGCUGUGUCAUUGGAGCAGCAGUCCCUGGCCUCCCAUCUCCCUGCCUAGUCAUGGCCAAGAACCCACUGCCUUCAAGAAAGGCCCAAGCCUGGCUUAGGGAGCAGCAGGGAUUAUUGAGAGAGUAGUGCUUAUCUAGGCUGCUUGUAUUUUCAUAUCACCGGCCAUGCCUGCCUCCCUCACACAUGCAUGCGCGUGCGCACACACGCGCGCACACACACACACUCAUCUGUGAUGGCUCAGCAUGGUCUCUCUACUUGGUGCUUCUUGACAGAACUGGAAUUUCAAGCCCAGAAGUGGUAUGGCUUCCUGUCUCUGAUCCAGCCUGGUGUGGUUCUUCAAUACACCCUGAAGGGGUCACAUGGAGACACCCUUAGCCUGCCAUUCAUUUGGGGCUUGAAAAUUUUUACAACACAAAUGAUCAGAAUUCUCUCAUCUCAUGGAACUAACUGAGAGAGAGAGAGAGAGAGAGAGAGAGAGAGAGAGAGAGAGAGAGAGAGAGAGAGAGAGAGAGAGAGAGAAAUGGUAAACCAAAAUUCCAGGUGGGGAUUGUGACUCUGUGAAGGAACUUGGCUUCUGUGUCCUGCAUGUUUCUGCCAUAAGUAGCUAUACUCAUAAUAGCCUCUCAUAGAGCAAAGCUUUAAUGUGCAUGCGUGUGUUUGUGUGUGUGUGUGUUUGCACACUUCCUGUUAAUAUUUUACCAAGUGACUGCCUGGUUUGUGGUGGCAGGAUAGCUUGUCCACUGCAGCAGGUGGUCCCUGGCAUAGUCCCAAAGAAGUUGCCUCAUUGAUACCAUCUGAAAGCUCUCUGUGGUCCAAGGGAUCCAAAGGUUGCAAAGAGUCUUGAGUCCUCCCGUCCAGCUUCUCCAUUGGUGCUGACAUUCUGCCUAUACCCAUCCCAGCCAAGAAGCAGUCUGCACCUGGUCACCUCCAAGGACAGAGAGCUCACUACCUCCUAGGGAAGACUGUUCUGUUGUUAGCUUCUGGCUUUUCCAGGCUCUCUAAGUUGGGGGGCCAUGUGGGCAGAGUCUCUCAAUGGGCAAAGGACCCAGUCUUAGCAUUGUCUCACACAUUGUAUCCUUUUUGCAAAAGGGAACAGCUGGAUACAAUGUGUUUUCACGCCCCCUGACCCCUCAGUAUGGGUCUAUUGGUCUUGGUUCCAUGUUGGAAGUGUUGGAGAAAUCCCUCAGCCUAACUCAUGCCAAAGUUGCCAGGGGGGGGCACCAGCCUGCUAACAAGAGUCCACAUUAAUGGAGGUUGUAGUCCCAUGCUGGCCACACAAAAUCUGUGGCAUCUCUGAGGGGUAACAUUAGCUGGAGGGUUCUAACUAAACAGCAUAGGGCUUUGCCUGGAGUUUAAGGUCCCUGGCUUGCCGAGGGCUCGUCUCUUCUGGUUCCCAUGUGGACGCAGUCACUCUGAAAGCUGAAGGUACUGUUCCACAUAGUCACUUAAGGUUGCUAUCCCAUUGUCUUUCUAAGUGAAUGAGGGAAAGACUUUCCCCAGAGAUCUGUCAAGGUCAUGUUAGGGAGGGGCCUUUAUGGCCUUCAUUUGCACACUGUAGACUUUUGCUUGUGACAGGUGACCUAAAAUAAGCUGCUCUGGAAAGUCUCAGAGCUUAUCCCUGGGAGCUUCUCAAUGGCAGUUGGGCUCCAGGGACCAAUAGACCUGCAGAAUUGCAGGAGAGUGGGGAUUGCUCAGCUUAGCAAGAUGACUGGCCAAGGAGCAGACCAGCUGUAUUUAAAACCCAGCAGGCAUGCCCACCACAGCUCCCAGUCAUUCAAGAUAGCAAUGAAUGUGACCCAACAGAGAGUCACAAUUACUUAGAGCAUUAUGAGACUUACCUUUCAAUUUUUGAAACUCAGUUGUGUCAUUCUUGAGCAUGAGUUUUGUUGAUAACCAUUAGGCCCAGACAAGUCAAGAUUGGACCAACACCGGUGGGGUGUAAUGUUAGCCUGCCUUCUCUAGCCUUAUAAAGUGGGUUCUAUCUCUGCCCAACUCCUGCCUUCCAUCCUGUUGCUGAAACUGGAGGAUGGCCCUGGCUCAUGGGAAGUUUGGUGCCUUUGGGGUGCCUUUCCACUGUUUGAUUGGAUCACAGACUGCUUCCAGUUUAUGGUUGGUAAAAGAAAAGUCACUGUGAUGUUUAAGGUGGGCAAAGUGGGCCUGGGGCUUAAGGCGGAGCGACUCCACUGGGUUGUUUCCCUCCUCUGGCACCUCUGAACACAAAGCCUCCCUCUGCUUACUGUUGCGCCCGCCUUGCCUGCUUUCUGUUCCCUGUGAUGCCCAUUGGAGUGUAUUUGGGGGAUGGGGUUAUCCGCUUUGUAACUGCCUUAUUGAAGUAAGUGCCCUUCCAUCCCUGGCCUCCGACUAUUUGUUUUCCUGCCAAACUUGGGGGGGAUGGGUCAUUUGUAUUUUGAUUUUGUGCCUGUGGCUCUGUACUGUUGAAGGUCUCAGUUCUCUGGACUCUCCUUGGCAUGCAUGUGACUCCUGUUGCAGUGUCACGCAGGUGAGAUGGCCUGACUCAAUAAACAAUCUAAAUGAGCAAGAGACUA
RNA transcript from Mus musculus (house mouse), 6061 nucleotides. It is a transcript of the gene named SAP30-like, with no coding region annotated. The record is from RefSeq and is marked validated. Lineage: Eukaryota; Metazoa; Chordata; Mammalia; Rodentia; Muridae. The transcript has 4 exons.